AUUGAACGCUGGCGGCAGGCCUAACACAUGCCAGUCGAGCGGGGACUUCGGUCCUAGCGGCGAACGGGUGAGUAAUGCUUGGGAAUCUGCCCAGUAGUGGGGGAUAACGUCCCGAAAGGGACGCUAAUACCGCAUACGUCCUACGGGAGAAAGAGGGGGAUCUUCGGACCUCUCGCUAUUGGAUGAACCCAAGUCGGAUUAGCUAGUUGGUAGGGUAAUGGCCUACCAAGGCGACGAUCCGUAGCUGGUCUGAGAGGAUGAUCAGCCACACUGGAACUGAGACACGGUCCAGACUCCUACGGGAGGCAGCAGUGGGGAAUAUUGGACAAUGGGCGAAAGCCUGAUCCAGCCAUGCCGCGUGUGUGAAGAAGGCCUUCGGGUUGUAAAGCACUUUAAGCGGGGAGGAAGGUUCGCGGCCUAAUACGUCGCGGAAUUGACGUUACCCGCAGAAUAAGCACCGGCUAACUCUGUG
RNAcentral lists this ribosomal RNA (472 nucleotides) under uncultured bacterium. RNAcentral's name for it is "partial 16S ribosomal RNA". It matches the Rfam family "Bacterial small subunit ribosomal RNA", at positions 30 to 507 of the family's 1533-position model. The record is from RNAcentral.